GCCCAUAUUGUUUCCUGUUUUUUCUUGUUGUAUCACAUUUUAUUUAGACUGUUUCUGUUUGUCUCGUUCUUCUGUUUCAGAAUCAGAUUCUUCAACUUUCAUUUGCUGUAAUGUUUUCAUCAUCUGUUCUUCUUUUCUUGUGUCUACAUCUUGUUGAAUUUUGUUAAACAUUUUCUCAAAUGCAUCAAGGAUUUCUUCUUUACCUUGAAUCAAAAUCUUUCCACUGAUAAAUAUGGACACAGUGCCUCCAUCAGAGAGCUUCAGUUCGUUUCAAGUUUCAGUUUGUUGUCCAUUUGAAUAUCCUUGGAUUUAAGGCAAAUUCAGGCUCUAGAUUCCUGCUCAUUAUUCUUUGACGUCACCACCCGAUAGACUUCAUUACAACCUCUGGGGCCAUCACAGGGCAGUUGUGGAGCUGUUUUGCAAAGAAGAAUGGGCAAGGAUUUCAGUCUCUAGAUGUGCAAAGCUCGUAGAGACAUACCCUAAAAGACUGGCAGCUGUAAUUGCAGCAAAAGGUGGUUCUACAAAGUAUUGACUCAGGGGGCUGAAUAAUUACGCACACCCCACUUUGCAGUUAUUUAUUUGUAAAAAAUGUUUGGAAUCAUGCAUGAUUUUUGUUCCACUUCUCACGUGUUCACCACUUUGUAUUGUUCUUUCACGUGGAAUUCCAAUAAAAUUGAUUCAUGUUUGUGGCUG
This is a long non-coding RNA of Oreochromis aureus, 693 nucleotides long. The record is from Ensembl. Lineage: Eukaryota; Metazoa; Chordata; Actinopteri; Cichliformes; Cichlidae.